Molecule: long non-coding RNA, 2056 nt
Filed under: Macaca nemestrina (pig-tailed macaque)
Lineage: Eukaryota; Metazoa; Chordata; Mammalia; Primates; Cercopithecidae
Description: lncRNA (ENSMNEG00000045766.1)
Source: RNAcentral
UGAUUAAUAACAUGUGAUUCUUUCUUUCGUAUGGCGCUUUCAGAAUUACCUGCACGGAGUGCUCCUCACAGGUGGUUGUGGUGCAGAAAGCAGCAGUGAACAGGAGCGCUUUCCCCUUUGUACUGGGGAGAGCUAGGUUUUCCUGGUCUGGCCCCUUCGGGGGUUUGGUUCCUAGGCUUCUGACUCUCACGACACUCCUCAGUUCUGUUUGUAAAGCAAAAAGACAGCUGAUUUCUGAAAUCACCUGCUACAGUUUAAAUAAUUCAAUCCGAAACUGCAUUUGAAUAAGAAACCAUCCUCCAGCUUCAAGCUUUCCCUUCAUUAGCAUUAGUUUUUAUUCAAGUUAAAAAUGUCCUCCUGGCUUCCCCUCCCUCCACUAGAAUUCUUGGUUACUUUCAAAAGCCCCAUUUUACUUUUUGUUUGUUUGCUUGUUUUAUUUUGUUUUGUUUAGAGACGGAGUCUUGCUCUGUCACUCAGGCUGGAGUGCAGUGGAGCCAUCUCAACUCACUGCAACCUCCGUCUCCCCAGUUCAAGUGAUUCUCCUGCCUCAGCCUCUGGAGUAGCUGGGAUUACAGGCACGCCACACCCGGCUAAUUUUUGUAUUUUUAGUAGAGAUGGGGUCUCCCCGUGUUGGCCAGGCUGGUCUUGAACUCCUGACCUCAAGUGAUCCGCCCACCUUGGCCUCCCAAAGUGCUGGGAUUAUAAGCAUGAGCCACCAUGCCUGGCCCAUUUUACUUUAAAUAAUGUAAUUCCUUCUAUUACAUUAGAAGGAAUGUAGGCAUUCACCUGGCUCCUAGGGCUUUUGUGCUGUAGGCCUGUAUUUCCAGGUACUUUUGGAAAAAAUCUCUCUGGAGUCCCAAUGAGCUGGUCACAUCAGCCUGUCCAGAGCAGAGCAAAGUGCAACUGCAGCCAGCUCAUGCCUUCAAGAGAAGGACUGAAGAUCAUUGUGUGCCUGAACCAAAAUGUCAGGAUAUGUGGAUGUCAUAAGAAGAAACCCUUGGACAGCCCAUCUGUGUGUUCAAAGACAACCCCUCUACCAGCCCUGCUCACCACAAAAGAGGGGAAAGUCAAAGAGCAAAAGUAGGUAGGUCUUCAGGGCAAAGAGCACAGCACUUUUGUGCAGAAAACCUAGACAAUAGGCCGGGUGCUCAUGCCUGUAAUCCCAGCACUUUGGGAGGCUGAGGCAGGUGGAUCGCCUGAGGUCAGGAGUUUGAGAUCAGUCUGGCCAACAUAGUGAAACCCUCAUCUCGACUAAAAAUAUAAAAAAUUAACUGGGUGUGGUGGUGGGCACCUGUAAUCCCAGAUACUCAGGAGGCUGAGGCAGGAGAAUCACUUGAACCCGGGAGGCAGAGGUUGCAGUGAGCUGAGACCACGCCAUUGCACUCUAGCCUGGGGGACAAGAGUGAAACUCCAUCUCAAAAAAAAAAAAACACAAAAAAACCACUAGACAAUAAUAAUUAUGAAUAAAUUUGCCAGCUGUACUUCAUAACCUAAGGACAUGAUUAAAACAAUGUUUUGAGGAAAAUUAUUAGGCAUAAGCUCUUAGCAUUAAUAAAUACAAAGAAUCAAAAUAAUGCAUUAGUUAUUCAACUUAAAAAGUUUGAAAGAGAACAUAAUUAUGAAACAGCAAAAUGAAGAAAUAAAAAUGAGAGUUGAAGUGAAUAAAUUAAAAAAUGGAUAUUUGGGAGAAAAAUAAAUGACUCCAAGUCCUGGUUCUUUUAAAUAAAACAGAUAAACCAUUAAUAUCCUAAAAAAAUGAGGGGCAAAAUACAAAUACAUAAAAUUAGAAAGGAGGGUGGGAAAUAACACAAAGACAGAGAAAACACUUUUUAACUAUGCAAAUAAAUUAGAAAGCCUAAGGAAUGAAUAUACAUGAAAUGAAUAAUUUAUCCAAAUGCUGGACACAGGCAAUUUCACAAAUGAAAUUUUAAAUUUAAAAAAUUUUAAGAAAGAGAUUAUUCUAAUACUUUCAAAACUUUUCUAAAGAAAGUCAACAUGUCCAAUGUUCUUUAUAAAGCCAACAUAACACUAAUACCAAAACUGGAUAGUGCACACA